UACAGAGGUCUCGAGCGUUAGGCGGAAUCACUGGGCUUAAAGCGUGUGUAGGCGGAUCGGUAAGUACCUUGUGAAAUCCCACAGCUUAACUGUGGAACUGCUUGGUAUACUGCCGGUCUUGAGCCAGCUAGGGGCUACCGGAACAAAUGGUGGAGCGGUGAAAUGCGUAGAUAUCGUUUGGAACGCCAAUGGUGAAAACAGGUAACUGGGAGUGUGCCGACGCUGAGACACGAAAGCCAGGGGAGCGAACGGG
RNAcentral lists this ribosomal RNA (253 nucleotides) under uncultured bacterium. RNAcentral's name for it is "partial 16S ribosomal RNA". It matches the Rfam family "Bacterial small subunit ribosomal RNA", at positions 524 to 776 of the family's 1533-position model. The record is from RNAcentral.